This 405-nucleotide ribosomal RNA is filed under the name uncultured bacterium. Its description in RNAcentral is "partial 16S ribosomal RNA". It matches the Rfam family "Bacterial small subunit ribosomal RNA", at positions 28 to 526 of the family's 1533-position model. The record is from RNAcentral.
GAUGAACGCUGGCGGCGUGCCUAAUACAUGCAAGUCGAGCGAAGCGGGGACGGGUGAGUAACACGUGGAUAACCUCCUAUAAGACUGGGAUAACGUCGGGAAACCGGAGCUAGACCGGAUACUUCGAGAUGGAUCCGCGCUGCAUUAGCUAGUUGGUCAGGUAACGGCUUACCAAGGCAACGAUGCAUAGCCGAGCUGAGAGGGUGAUCGGCCAAACUGGGACUGAGACACGGUCCAUACUCCUACGGGAGGCAGCAGUAGGGAAUCUUCCGCAAUGGGCGAAAGCCUGACGGAGCAACGCCGCGUGAGUGAUGAAGGUCUUCGGAUCGUAAAACUCUGUUAUUAGUGAAGCGGUACCUAAUCAGAAAGCCACGGCUAACUACGUGCCAGCAGCCGCGGUAAUUC